CUAGACAUCCUUCAUGUUUUUGGAAAGUGCACAUGCCUACACAUAAAUCCAUCAAUGUCUUCAGCACUGCCAAUUAGAUGUGCCGGACUAGGCCUCACAACCAUACUACAGAAUUUUGGUGGUAUGAUAGCUCAGUUCCCAACUACAUACCUAGGCUUUCCAAUCAUACUCUCGAGGUUGAGGCUGGCGAAUUCGCAAUUCAUCCUAGAUAGGAUCAAAGCUAGUCUAGUAGGUUGGAAAGGGAAGAUGAUGCCCAUAGCUAGUAGGAGAGUGCUUGUCAGUUGUGUUCUCAGCGCCAUGCCAACCUCCGCACUAUCUAUUCUUCGGGUGCCAAAGAAGCUGUUGAAGGAGAUUGAUAAGUGUAGGCAGAAUUUUUUGUGGAAGCAGGACAAGGAGAUCACCGGUAGAAGCUGCAAGGUCAACUGGCCAACUGCCUGCACGUCCACUUCGCGCAGGGGUCUUGGCAUCCUGGACCUGGAGCGAUUUAGCCGUGACCUUAGACUACGUUGGCUCUGGAUCGCUUGGAAGGCCCCUGAGCGGCCAUGGGUUGGCACCCAACCCCCCUUCAGCGACGACGACAAGGCCCUAUUUGCAGCUGCAACAACAGUCAUCGGUGAUGGAUCAACAUCAUUGUUCUAG
Molecule: ribosomal RNA, 639 nt
Filed under: Triticum aestivum (bread wheat)
Lineage: Eukaryota; Viridiplantae; Streptophyta; Magnoliopsida; Poales; Poaceae
Description: partial small subunit ribosomal RNA
Source: RNAcentral